CUUCUAAAGAAUACAUUCAACUUUCCUCUGAAAAUCUGGGAUCUGUAAAAAUAAUAAAAACUUCACGAACUGGGAUGAGCCAAUAAUUCCCCUGCUACCGCGAAGUUUAGAUCAUGAUUCCUUCUUUUUUACCCUAUAUGGAUAUUUUUGGUAUAUUGCAAUACUGAUAAUGACGAGUGGUAGGGCCAGCAAACAAUACAAUGACGGUGGUUUCCCUUCGAAAAUAAACUGCAGCAUAGCUGUUACAAGUAGUGCAGAAACAAUGACAAAUCCCUUUCUAACACCCCCAGCAUGGCUUGUUACCAGGCCAACAAGUAUUCCUCCAAGAGAAUUGGCUAUCACUGGAAUCAUAGUCAAUGGAGUCCAACCAUGAAAGAAUCCAUAUCGUCUAAUAGCUUCACCAUCUGGAGACUUAGUGGUGCUGACCAGCAGGCACAAGCUUCCAACAAUAGACAUUUCUACAGUCAUCAAGUAUGAAGAAUGUUUCUUAACCUGAGAAGCCCAUUGACACAAAGCUGAAGCAAGGCCGGAAAGAACAGAGGCAACAAGAACAGGAACAAUCCCAUAAAAUAGAAUUUGAUCAGGGUUACUACUACUGGAGCCUUUGCUGGAGCCUUCACCAACGCUAAGAAGAACAGCUGCCAUGAUUAACAAGAACAAAGCGCCAAUUUGUUGGAUUGACUGCUUCUGCCUCAAUAUUAUAAACGUAAACAAUGCAGUGAAAAAUAUUUUUGUCUGGUUCAGCAUUGAAAAUGUAAGUGAAUCAAGAUUCUUGUAAGAAAUCUGCAGCAAGCUGUUUUGUGCAGCAUAAAUAGCUGCAGGAAGUCCUGAUGCAGUGAGAGAACCGACCAAAGUCCAUUCAUUGGAUAAUUUCUUCAAACUACCAUUUUUUGCCAUGAGAAUCAGGGCACAUAUUACCUUAGCUAUCUCACAUGUCAAGACAGAGGUAGUAACGAUAACUUCUCGCCUGGUGAAACGCUUGGAGAUCAGAGGCUGAGCUCCGUAUUGAAGAGUGAGUAAAAUUGAAUAAAGCCAAACCCUUGCGUUCAUUCCAUCAGAGUCAGAGUUGGUUCCUUUGCGCUUCGUCGCCGCCAUUGUUGGCAAGCUUAGAAGGGAGGAACGCUUGGUCCUGUUCCUUUCUUCUUUUCUACUUCUCCGUUGUGGUCCCCUGUACCGUGAAUGUGAUUGAAAGUAGAAAAAU
Molecule: unclassified non-coding RNA, 1201 nt
Filed under: Hevea brasiliensis (rubber tree)
Lineage: Eukaryota; Viridiplantae; Streptophyta; Magnoliopsida; Malpighiales; Euphorbiaceae
Source: RNAcentral